RNAcentral lists this long non-coding RNA (1179 nucleotides) under Cyanistes caeruleus (blue tit). RNAcentral describes it as "lncRNA (ENSCCEG00000018545.1)". The record is from RNAcentral. Lineage: Eukaryota; Metazoa; Chordata; Aves; Passeriformes; Paridae.
GUAUAUCAGCAAGUAAAGAGACAAUUUGCAUAGGAAGACUGGGUAGUCAGAAUAAAAUUCUGAAAGUCAUGUAGGUGCUACAUACUGGUUAAUAUCAGACAGCAAACAACUUCCAGCCAGAGACUGAAAGCUCCCAAAAAGAUUAAGUGGUUGAACUUGCUACAAAUAAGCAAAUAUUCAGGUACUGUUGCCUGUUGUGUCAUCCAGAAGCAGCAGAAAAUGUCAAAGUAAGGUGACAUCAUCACUGGUUUAGUGACAUCAGCUUCAGGUAUAGUGUAGUUUGUUUUGAGUUGCACCACAGGAAAGUCUGACCCAUAUCUGUGUAGAAUUUACUUAUUCUGUCCAUGUCUAGACACUCACAUAAAUCCUGUGAGUUUCCAGUAUUCUGGCUGCAAGACCCACAACAUCACUGGAAGUGAGCUGUUUUUCCUAACAGUGCAGUGGGUGAAUGGAAAAAGCAUUUUUUCAUUAUUUCUAUUUAACCUGCACUUCUCUGUUUUACUGACAGUAACAUUAUAGGCAUGAUGGGAAGACAGAGGGAGAAGAGAGGUUGCCAUGUAUUUCAUAUCUUUGGGCAGUAGUUAUGUCUAAUAUAAUGGCAGUCCUGUUUCAAGGAUAAAGUGACAGUUUUCUGCAAGUGGGGAGAAAGUAAAAAGUUUUUAUCAAGUAAUUUUAAGUAUAGUAGAAGUAAUUAAUUCUAACUUAACAGCGUAUUUUCAGCUACUUAAACUACAGUUUAAUUGUUGUCUUACUUGUAGUUUGGUAUGAAAUGACCACAUGCAGCAAGCUUUUCACCAAAGGAAGAGAAAAGUUAUUUAGAUGAAAGUCCAGGUGUCCUGCUGGGCUCAGGGAUGUCAAAGACAACCACAUCUUCUAAUCUGGAGUCCAACCCCAUGCCUUCUCCUUCUCCAGCCAGAAUCAGGCAGAAGUCACUGCCUCAGGUUAAGAUGUUAUCUGCACCACUCUGUCAUCUCUGCUGGAGCUGAAAUACCACAAGCAGAAGAAGGAAAAUUUAGUAUUUGUUUACACCUCUGCUGUAGUCAUGCACAGCCCAACUUAACUGUGGGAGCUGGAGCACAUGUCACACUUAGGUCUUCUGCAGCCAACACUUGGAAGGUACAUAAACAUUGGAAUUUCACAGUUGCAAACCGUAUGUCAGUUCUGGAAAAAUGCCUCUGA